UAAAUAUGUAACAUAUAAGAUAACAAGAAGAUAUUUAUCAUUAACAUACACAACUGAUAAUGAACAAAACAAUAUCACUUUGACAAAAUGACAAAAGCAACAAAUAGUUCAUUAAUGGUACGAAUUAACUGCACCAGUUACCAAUUAAGAUGUAUAAUUCAAUAUUACAUGUGGUGUAGCAUUCUACUCUUUUUAUUGAAUAUGACGAUCACGUGUUUAAGGAUUAUUUUACGUAUUUGAAGCCUUGUUUCUAUUAAUACGUAUAUUGAUGGUCUAUAUGAAAAUAUUACUAAAUUUAGAUUUGUGACGUCAUGAGGUCAUAAUGGAAACAAGUUGUAAAAAGCAAUAGAAAGACCAGAGUUAAUGCUAUCAUGAAUCUACAUGUAGGAGACAUAUGUAUUUCUGGUGAGCAAAAUGUCAUGGAAGGCGUGAAACAGCACUUUAUAAACUUUGCAACUCCAGAGGAAUCUACAGUCUUAGAGAAUAGAUAAUAUCACCAGGAAGUAGAAUAUGGAAUAGGAUUAAUUACAGAUUUGGUGAAGGAUAAUAAUAUAUCACCGGCCACACUAGAAGAACUACAAAAGGCCAUCAAAUCAAUUAAUAAAGGAAAAUCAUCUGAUAUCUAUGGAAUCACUGUCGAACAUAAAUUGCAUGCAGGAAACAAUUUGGAAAUGUUGCUACUGAACCUCAUCAACAUAAUAUUCAAAAAAGGCAAGGUGUCAGACAUGCUAAAGGAGGGAUUACUCACCCCCGUGUUAAGGAACAAAGGCGAGAAAAACAUAGCAAUUAAUUAUAGAGGAAUCACUGUAUUACCUGUGUUAAACAAAGUGAUAGAAACAAUUGUAAAAGUAAGGAUCAAUCAAUCCAGCAGUACUUACAACACAAAAUGUAACUCAACGAGGAUUAACAGCAGUCUCAGGACCAGCAAAUGCAGCAUUACCGGUUGACGAAAUAUACCAUGAAGCCAAAGAUAACAAUCAAGAAUAUGAACUUGUACUGUUGGACGCAAAAUCAACCUUUGAUGUAUUUAUUCAUUCCCAUCUUAUGAAGCGGCUCUAUCACAUGCUGGAAUUGGUGAUAAACACUGGACAAUCAUUCAGAGUAUGCACACAAAUGCAACAAGUGCAGGUAAAAGGAAUGGUAAAACUUCCGAGCUAUUUAAUGUACUACAAGGAGUACGCCAGAAAGGGGUCCUAAGUACGGAUCUAUACAAGCUUUACAUCAAUCCUCUACUUUACAUGCUGAAAACAUCAAAUGUAGGAUGUAGAAUUGGAAAUAUACUCUGCAAUACUAGCACAUGUGCAGAUGAUGUCGCACUCAAGAGCAACAAGACCACCGAUAUGCAAGUACAAAUUAAUAUGGCAAACACCUUUGCCGGCAUGAAAGGAUAUGAACUACAGAAAAAAAACGUCGCUUUUAACAUAAAACCUAAGCCUACAAAGAAAGAACCGCUGCUGGGAGAAUAUACAUUAAAUGAAGCUAUUAUGCCAAGAGUUGACUCAGCUAUGCAUUUAGGAAUAAUCCGAACGAACUCUUUGACGCAAAAUAUCUUAUCAAAUAUUGAGGAGAAUAUAAAAAAAAUCAUGAAGAAGUGCUUGUGCUCUACUUGGCAGUGGCUUCCAUGGUGAAAAUGGACUGGAU
Molecule: long non-coding RNA, 1641 nt
Filed under: Mytilus galloprovincialis (Mediterranean mussel)
Lineage: Eukaryota; Metazoa; Mollusca; Bivalvia; Mytilida; Mytilidae
Source: RNAcentral